This 342-nucleotide ribosomal RNA is filed under the name Rhipicephalus sp. 68SA. RNAcentral's name for it is "partial 12S ribosomal RNA". The record is from RNAcentral. Lineage: Eukaryota; Metazoa; Arthropoda; Arachnida; Ixodida; Ixodidae.
AUUAUUAAAGAGCUAUAAAUUGUAAGUAAAUAACAAUUAUGAAAGCAAAAAAUUAUGGCGGUAUUUUAAGCUUUUCAGAGGAAUUUGCUCUAUAAUGGAUAAAACACCCUAAUCUUACUUAAAUUUGUUAAAACAGUUUGUAUACCACUAUAAAAUUAAUUAUUAAUUUUAAUUAAUAAAAUUUAAUUUUUUUUAAAAAAAAUUAAGUCAAGGUGCAGCAAAAAUUUAAGAAUGAAGUGAAUUACAAUUCUUAUUAGAGAUAAUUAUAAUUAAAAUUAUUUUAGGAUUUGAAAGUAAAAUUAAAAUAGAAUGUUAAUUUGAAUCAAGCUCUAAAAUAUGUAC